GAGUGAACGCUGGCGGUAGGCCUAACACAUGCAAGUCGAACGGCAGCACAGUAAGAGCUUGCUCUUACGGGUGGCGAGUGGCGGACGGGUGAAGAAUACAUCGGAAUCUACUUUUUCGUGGGGGAUAACGUAGGGAAACUUACGCUAAUACCGCAUACGACCUACGGGUGAAAGCAGGGGAUCUUCGGACCUUGCGCGAUUGAAUGAGCCGAUGUCGGAUUAGCUAGUUGGCGGGGUAAAGGCCCACCAAGGCGACGAUCCGUAGCUGGUCUGAGAGGAUGAUCAGCCACACUGGAACUGAGACACGGUCCAGACUCCUACGGGAGGCAGCAGUGGGGAAUAUUGGACAAUGGGCGCAAGCCUGAUCCAGCCAUACCGCGUGGGUGAAGAAGGCCUUCGGGUUGUAAAGCCCUUUUGUUGGGAAAGAAAAGCAGCAGGUUAAUACCCCGCUGUUCUGACGGUACCCAAAGAAUAAGCACCGGCUAACUUCGUG
Molecule: ribosomal RNA, 493 nt
Filed under: uncultured bacterium
Lineage: Bacteria
Description: partial 16S ribosomal RNA
Rfam family: Bacterial small subunit ribosomal RNA
Source: RNAcentral